This 390-nucleotide long non-coding RNA is filed under the name Ananas comosus (pineapple). RNAcentral's name for it is "long non-coding RNA (ACOM_LNC036756)". Lineage: Eukaryota; Viridiplantae; Streptophyta; Magnoliopsida; Poales; Bromeliaceae. The record is from RNAcentral.
UCGAGCACGGAACUCAUAGCAAGUAUGAUCGAAUCCUUAACUCAAAGGAUUGUAUGUUCAAUCUUGACUUUACACUAACUCUAGUGUUCUUUAUUUCACUUUAUGUUGCCACUCUAGCAAUCGUUGUUCUUUACUUUUUCUUUUACUUUUGCUAACUCUAGCAAUUAUAUUCUUUACAUUCUUUGCUUUUGGCUACCUCUGGCACUUCGUGUUCUUUACUCCCCACAUUACUUUAACUCUAAACAUUGUCAUUUUCAUCAUUCUUUACAUCACGUUAGCUCUUUGCAUCACACUAACUCUAGUGUCUCUUUACUUUACAUUUUCAAAUGCCACUCGAUCUAUGUCAUUGUGUCACUCUGUUCUUUUGCUCAUUUUGGGUGCUCACUUUUC